RNAcentral lists this ribosomal RNA (521 nucleotides) under uncultured bacterium. RNAcentral's name for it is "bacterial SSU rRNA". It matches the Rfam family "Bacterial small subunit ribosomal RNA", at positions 988 to 1509 of the family's 1533-position model. The record is from RNAcentral.
CCAGAGAAUUUAGCAGAGAUGCUUUAGUGCCUUCGGGAACUCUGAGACAGGUGCUGCAUGGCUGUCGUCAGCUCGUGUUGUGAAAUGUUGGGUUAAGUCCCGCAACGAGCGCAACCCCUAUCCUUUGUUGCCAGCGAUUCGGUCGGGAACUCAAAGGAGACUGCCGGUGAUAAACCGGAGGAAGGUAGGGAUGACGUCAAGUCAUCAUGGCCCUUACGAGUAGGGCUACACACGUGCUACAAUGGCGCAUACAAAGAGAAGCGACCUCGCGAGAGCAAGCGGACCUCAUAAAGUGCGUCGUAGUCCGGAUUGGAGUCUGCAACUCGACUCCAUGAAGUCGGAAUCGCUAGUAAUCGUAGAUCAGAAUGCUACGGUGAAUACGUUCCCGGGCCUUGUACACACCGCCCGUCACACCAUGGGAGUGGGUUGCAAAAGAAGUAGAUAGCUUAACCUUCGGGAGGGCGUUUACCACUUUGUGAUUCAUGACUGGGGUGAAGUCGUAACAAGGUAGGCGUAGCGAG